CCUACGGGCGACAGCAGUGGGGAAUAUUGCACAAUGGGCGAAACCCUGAUGCAGCAACGCCGCGUGCAGGAAGACGGUUUUCGGAUUGGAAACUUCUUUCAAUAGGGGAGAAAGGAGUGACGGUACCUAAGUAAGAAGCCCCGGCUAACUACGUGCCAGCAGCCGCGGUAAUACGUAGGGGGCAAGCGUUAUCCGGAAUUACUGGGUGUAAAGGGAGAGUAGGCGGCAAGGUAAGCGAUAUGUGAAAGCCUUAAGCUUAACUUAAGGAUGGCAUAACGAACUAGCUAGCUAGAGUACAGGGAAGGCAAGCGGAAUUCGUCGUGUAGCGGUGAAAUGCGUAGAUAUGAGGAAGAACACCAGUUGCGAAGGCGGCUUUCUGGACUGAAACUGACGCUGAGGCUCGAAAGCGUGGGGAGCGAACAGGAUUAGAUACCCUUGUAGUC
Molecule: ribosomal RNA, 443 nt
Filed under: uncultured bacterium
Lineage: Bacteria
Description: partial 16S ribosomal RNA
Rfam family: Bacterial small subunit ribosomal RNA
Source: RNAcentral